Long non-coding RNA from Hydra vulgaris (swiftwater hydra), 770 nucleotides. RefSeq lists it as uncharacterized. NCBI's taxonomy places the organism in Eukaryota, Metazoa, Cnidaria, Hydrozoa, Anthoathecata, Hydridae. The record is from RefSeq and is a predicted model, not a curated record.
UAAUAAAUAGUUUAGAAAAGAUAAAAGAAGUUUGCUUUGAUUAUUAUGUUGUGGCUAAUGAAGCAGCUAAAAAGUCCUAUAAAUUCUUCGGUAAUAUUGUAUGAGCGAUUAAAAGUAAUUUUAAGUUCAGUAACAAUGUAUUUUAAUAAAUCUUUUUUUUAGUUAUUUGUGAUAGAUUAUUACCUCCGCCUAAAUUAUCACCUCCCCCAUUGAAAACUCAAAACGAGGUUGCGCUUUCUGGUUAUAGCUGUUAGAUGUGUUCCUAAAACCUUACAUAACAUAACAUAAUUAACAUAAACAUAAACAACGAAAAUGACGCUUCGAGGACAAGAAUUCGAGAAAUAAAGUUUACUUGGUCUUUUGUGAUGUUCCAAUUCCAUUUUUUUGAAAGUGACUCAUCAUGUUAAAGUGUGAUGUUUUCUGAAUGACUUUAUGUGAUAGUGUGAACGUUUUCUGAUUGGCAGAAGGAUUUUCAGUUUUCUUUUUGCCCCAAUUUGUCAGUCUGGUGCUAAAAAGAUUGAUUUCAAUUUUCUCAAAUACGAGCAGACAAUUUAGAAAGAAGAAUCUCAAGUGUUUUAAUAAAUUUGAUUUUCAUUCAAAGUCAAUCUCAUGUAGGUAGUGGGUACAAAACAAUAUCAACAUAUUCGUCCCAAUUUGUUUGAUUUUCAUUAAUUAAUUUCAUUAAUUUUCUUAACUUUCUAAAAGUACAAAAAGCGUUAAUAUUUAAUAACUGACAUGAAAAUCUAAAUAAUUUUGUAAUAUACAUAUAA